This 396-nucleotide ribosomal RNA is filed under the name uncultured bacterium. RNAcentral describes it as "partial 16S ribosomal RNA". It matches the Rfam family "Bacterial small subunit ribosomal RNA", at positions 523 to 918 of the family's 1533-position model. The record is from RNAcentral.
AUACGUAGGGGGCAAGCGUUAUCCGGAUUUACUGGGUGUAAAGGGAGCGUAGACGGGCGUGCAAGUCUGAAGUGAAAGCCCGGGGCUCGACCCCGGCACUGCUUUGGAUACUGUAUUUCUAGAGUGCAGGAGAGGUAAGUGGUAUUCCUAGUGUAGCGGUGAAAUGCGUAGAUAUUUGGAGGAACACCAGUGGCGAAGGCGGCUUACUGGACUUUAACUGACGUUGAGGCUCGAAGGCGUGGGGAGCAAACAGGAUUAGAUACCCUGGUAGUCCACGCGGUAAACGAUGAAUACUAGGUGUCGGGAGAGAAACUCUUUCGGUGCCGCAGCAAACGCAAUAAGUAUUCCACCUGUGGAGUACGUUCGCAAGAAUGAAACUCAAAUGAAUUGACGGGG